GACGAACGCUGGCGGCGUGCCUAAUACAUGCAAGUAGAACGCACAGUUUAUACCGUAGCUUGCUACACCAUAGACUGUGAGUUGCGAACGGGUGAGUAACGCGUAGGUAACCUGCCUGGUAGCGGGGGAUAACUAUUGGAAACGAUAGCUAAUACCGCAUAAUAUUAAUUAUUGCAUGAUAAUUGAUUGAAAGGUGCAAUUGCACCACUACCAGAUGGACCUGCGUUGUAUUAGCUAGUAGGUGAGGUAACGGCUCACCUAGGCGACGAUACAUAGCCGACCUGAGAGGGUGAUCGGCCACACUGGGACUGAGACACGGCCCAGACUCCUACGGGAGGCAGCAGUAGGGAAUCUUCGGCAAUGGACGUAAGUCUGACCGAGCAACGCCGCGUGAGUGAAGAAGGUUUUCGGAUCGUAAAGCUCUGUUGUAAGAGAAGAACCGGGUGUGAGAGCGGAAAGUUCAC
Molecule: ribosomal RNA, 464 nt
Filed under: Streptococcus gordonii
Lineage: Bacteria; Bacillati; Bacillota; Bacilli; Lactobacillales; Streptococcaceae
Description: bacterial SSU rRNA
Rfam family: Bacterial small subunit ribosomal RNA
Source: RNAcentral